UGGGGAAUUUUGGACAAUGGGCGAAAGCCUGAUCCAGCAAUGCCGCGUGUGUGAAGAAGGCCUUCGGGUUGUAAAGCACUUUUGUCCGGAAAGAAAUCCUCUGGGUUAAUACCUCGGGGGGAUGACGGUACCGGAAGAAUAAGCACCGGCUAACUACGUGCCAGCAGCCGCGGUAAUACGUAGGGUGCAAGCGUUAAUCGGAAUUACUGGGCGUAAAGCGUGCGCAGGCGGUUUUGUAAGACGGAUGUGAAAUCCCCGGGCUUAACCUGGGGACUGCAUUCGUGACUGCAAGGCUAGAGUAUGGCAGAGGGGGGUAGAAUUCCACGUGUAGCAGUGAAAUGCGUAGAGAUGUGGAGGAAUACCGAUGGCGAAGGCAGCCCCCUGGGCCAAUACUGACGCUCAUGCACGAAAGCGUGGGGAGCAAACAGGAUUAGAUACCCUGGUAGUCCACGCCCUAAAACGAUGUCAACUAGUUGUUGGGGAUUCAUUUCCUUAGUAACGUAGCUAACGCGUGAAGUUGACCGCCUGGGGAGUACGGUCGCAAGAUUAAAACUCAAAGGAAUUGAC
RNAcentral lists this ribosomal RNA (567 nucleotides) under uncultured bacterium. RNAcentral's name for it is "partial 16S ribosomal RNA". It matches the Rfam family "Bacterial small subunit ribosomal RNA", at positions 355 to 914 of the family's 1533-position model. The record is from RNAcentral.